Molecule: non-coding RNA, 45 nt
Organism: Schistosoma curassoni
Lineage: Eukaryota; Metazoa; Platyhelminthes; Trematoda; Strigeidida; Schistosomatidae
Source: Rfam
AUCAAGCUGACGAGUCCUAAGUAGAACGAAACACAUGUCCUGGAU